UCAGACAGUGAAGCCUGAGCAGCAGGAGGAGAGCCUGCAGGCCUCCUGGGUAGAAUUGCACCUUCACAAUAAUAGAAAAGGGAGCACUGUUUCAGCCUCAGUUUUUAUUUAUAAUGGUGACAUGAAAAAAAUACUGCUGGGUUUUAGCAUGAGUCCAGAUAGAGACAGCUCUGAGAGUUCUCACUGUGACAGCUCACGUCUUUCACAGACACCACGGGAUACUAAUAGGGCUUCUCAAACAGACACACAAUGCAUUAGAGAGAAAAAACUGCUCUCAUUCUGAGAAAGAUUAUGUUGAGAGAAAAAAGUUAAAAGUGUCUUAAGAAAAAACUGAGAUUAGAUAUAAGAUUGAUCAAGUCAGCCAGAAAAUAUUUCCCUAAGAAGAAUUUCUCUCCAAACACCCAAAGUGCAUAGCUACUCUCAGCAAGGGAAACAUGAGCAUUAUUGAAUAAAGGGGGCACAUUCUCAGCAAAAAAAAAAAUUUUUUUUUUUUGAGAUAGAGUUCCAUUCUUUUUUUUUUUUUUUUGGACAGAGUCUCACUCUGUCGCCCAGGCUGGAGUGCAGUGGCGCGAUCUCGGCUCACUGUAAGCUCUGCCUUCUGGGUUCACGCCAUUCUCCUGCCUCAGCCUCCUGAGUAGCUGGGACUAUCGGCGUGUGCCACCACACCCGGCUAAUUUUUUUUUGUAUUUUUAGUAGAGAUGGAGUUUCACCAUGUUAGCCAAGAUGGUCUCGAUCUCCUGACCUCGUGAUCCACCUGCCUCGGCCUCCCAAGUGCUGGGAUUACAGGCGUGAGCUGCCACGCCCGGCCAAGGAGUUUCAUUCUUGUUGCCCUGGCUGGAGUGCAAUGGUGUGAUCUAGGCUCACUACAACCUCUGCCUCCCGGGUUCAAGCAAUUCUCCUGUCUCAGCCUCCCAAAUGACUGGGACUGUAGACACACACCACCACACCUGGCUAAUUCUGUUAUUUUUGGUAGAGACGAGGUUUCACCACAUUGUCCAGGCUGGUCUCAAACUCCUGACCUCAGGUGAUCCACCCCCCUUGGCCUCCCAAAAUGCUGGGAUUACAGGCAUGAGCCACAGCGCCCAGCUCUCAGCAGAAUUUUAAAAGAUUUAUCUUCCAUCUCUGCUGUUCUCUUAUUUCCUAACCAUUGAAUGUGAGAUAUAUUGGAAUAUAUCUGACAACUUCCACCAGCA
This 1193-nucleotide long non-coding RNA is filed under the name Homo sapiens (human). Its description in RNAcentral is "non-protein coding lnc-ZNF257-2:1". Lineage: Eukaryota; Metazoa; Chordata; Mammalia; Primates; Hominidae. The record is from RNAcentral.